AUUGAACGCUGGCGGCAUGCCUUACACAUGCAAGUCGAACGGCAGCACGGGUGCUUGCACCUGGUGGCGAGUGGCGAACGGGUGAGUAAUACAUCGGAACAUGUCCUGUAGUGGGGGAUAGCCCGGCGAAAGCCGGAUUAAUACCGCAUACGAUCCACGGAUGAAAGCGGGGGACCUUCGGGCCUCGCGCUAUAGGGUUGGCCGAUGGCUGAUUAGCUAGUUGGUGGGGUAAAGGCCUACCAAGGCGACGAUCAGUAGCUGGUCUGAGAGGACGACCAGCCACACUGGGACUGAGACACGGCCCAGACUCCUACGGUAGGCAGCAGUGGGGAAUUUUGGACAAUGGGCGAAAGCCUGAUCCAGCAAUGCCGCGUGUGUGAAGAAGGCCUUCGGGUUGUAAAGCACUUUUGUCCGGAAAGAAAUCCUUGACUCUAAUACAGUCGGGGGAUGACGGUACCGGAAGAAUAAGCACCGGCUAACUACGUG
RNAcentral lists this ribosomal RNA (486 nucleotides) under uncultured bacterium. Its description in RNAcentral is "partial 16S ribosomal RNA". It matches the Rfam family "Bacterial small subunit ribosomal RNA", at positions 30 to 507 of the family's 1533-position model. The record is from RNAcentral.